CCUUCCAGAUCCCUCUGUGUUGGGACUUUAAAGUCUGGCCCCUUAACAUUAGGACGUCUUUCUGAAGCAGACAGGGGUGGCAGGAGGGCAGAUUUUGUCCUUAUCCUCAGCCCAGCACAGUGGAGGGUCGUUUAACCCUUGUUGUUCCUUCCUGGGCCAGGUGUGGGGCAGGUGUCUGCUUAUUUCCUGAGCCCCACCGGGUGGCCCCUGCCUCUGCACAGCAGCAUCCCCUGGGAUCUUGGGAGCAGUGCAGAUUCCCAGGCCCGCCCCAGCCCUGCGAGUCAGAGUCUGCCCUCCACCAGUGACGAGUGAAAGCCCUGCCAGCCCUCCAGAAAGCCUGCUGAUGACACCAUCCCAGAGAGGGCGGACUGCAGCCAGCACCUUCCCCACCCAGCCCGACUCUGCAGGGAGCACUGAGGUCCGCUUGGCCUCCGUGUGGCAGCUGGCCCUGUUUUUGAUUGCUGAGGGCUGUGAAUAGAAUGAGAGAGAAAUAUCCACAUUCGGGCUUCUUUCUGCUCUGAAGAGAUUGGCAGCGCAGUCCUUUUCACCACAAAAAUGUGGCGGGAGGGAUGUCUCAUCUGUCUUGCCCACAGACCUGCUGCAAAGCACAUCGCUCCUUUCUGGAUUUUCUUUUUUUUAAUCCUCAUCUGUAUAAUUGCUGAAGAUUUUGCAUUUCUUUGGCCCCCCCCAUACAGAAACGCCUGUGUUGUGGGAUGUAAAUUUGGCCCAAAGCUGAUGGACAGGUUGGGAAAUAGAAGGGAGUCAGUGUUCUAGCGUGCUUUCCAAGGGCAGUGUCUCAGGAUACCCAGUCACUACCGCCUCCUGCCCCUCCCUGCGUGCGUUUCUUCAGCAAAGAGGCACCUAAUGGUGCUCCCUCUGGUGUCUUUUCACAGAAACAGGCAGAGCUUAGGGAGUUGAGAGCUCAGCCCUGAACUGGACCCGCUGAGAGCCACUAGAGCGCAGGGCUGAAAUGAGGAGCCUCUCGCUUCCAGUUCUUGGCACCUUACGAAGGAAAGUCUUUGACACCCUCACCUUCUUGUCGGGUGGGUAACUUGCACACCCUAUUGGGGGCAUCCAGUUGAAGCCCAGGACCAAGCCACAUCCCCCUCAACAGUGACUCAUGUUUUGAUCCUAUCUGAUUCCUGCACCUGUUCUCAUUUGAUUAGAACUUUAGAAACUGGCCUGUGGGUAACUGGUCCCCUCAUACCCUAGUGGGAUCCUUGUACCUUGGGAGCCUGGAAUGAAUUGUGCAGAUGGGCAGUGAAUCCCUGAAAUGUGAUAAAGGAGCUUCUCACAUUGAGUUUUGGCACAUUACCCUCUGCAUGAGAAGAUGCUUUAACACACACGCACACACACUCACACACACGAAUUCUCUGUGGGUAGCAGUGUUUUUUAAAGUUUUUUGUACUUGAGACAAAAUGGGUACUUUAUCACUGAGCUACACCUCCAGCCCCUUUAUUGAAGUUUUUGGUACUGAGGAUUGAACCCAGGGGCACUGAACCACAUCCACAGCCCUUUUUUAAAAAAAAUAAUUUAGUAGAGAGUAUCUCACUUAGGGCCUUGUUAAAUUGGUGAGCUUGCCUUUGAACUCAUGAUCCUCCUGCCUCAGCCUCCCUAACUGCUGGGAUUUCAGGUGUGCACCACCGUACCCAGCCCAUUUUAUUUUUUGAGACAGGUCUCACUGAGUAGCUGAGGCUGACUUCAGACUUGCAGUCCUCCUGCCUCAGCCUCAUUGGGAUCACAGGUAUACACAACCAUGCCUGGCUGGCUGUGGGUGGAUGUUUUAUAGAAAAAUGGAUAGUGAAAUAAUUGUGAUUUUUU
Molecule: long non-coding RNA, 1821 nt
Filed under: Marmota monax (woodchuck)
Lineage: Eukaryota; Metazoa; Chordata; Mammalia; Rodentia; Sciuridae
Source: RNAcentral